RNAcentral lists this ribosomal RNA (440 nucleotides) under uncultured bacterium. Its description in RNAcentral is "partial 16S ribosomal RNA". It matches the Rfam family "Bacterial small subunit ribosomal RNA", at positions 338 to 795 of the family's 1533-position model. The record is from RNAcentral.
CCUACGGGUGGCUGCAGUUGGGAAUCUUGCGCAAUGGGGGCAACCCUGACGCAGCGACGCCGCGUGCGGGAUGACAGUCUUCGGAUUGUAAACCGCUUUUCUUGGGGACGAUAAUGACGGUACCCGAGGAAGAAGCCCCGGCUAACUCCGUGCCAGCAGCCGCGGUAAGACGGAGGGGGCAAGCGUUGUCCGGAAUUACUGGGCGUAAAGCGCUCGUAGGCGGUCAUGUACGGCGGUGGUGAAAGCUCCCGGCUCACCUGGGGGAGGCCCGCCGCAACGGCAUGACUCGAGGAUGGUAGAGGCAGAUGGAAUUCCUGGUGUAGCGGUGAAAUGCGUAGAGAUCAGGAGGAACACCCAUGGCGAAGGCAGUCUGCUGGGCCACACCUGACGCUGAGGAGCGAAAGCUAGGGGAGCGAACGGGAUUAGAUACCCGGGUAGUC